Molecule: small RNA, 75 nt
Filed under: Necator americanus (New World hookworm)
Lineage: Eukaryota; Metazoa; Nematoda; Chromadorea; Rhabditida; Ancylostomatidae
Description: Nematode sRNA ceN72-3_ceN74-2
Rfam family: Nematode sRNA ceN72-3_ceN74-2
Source: Rfam by way of RNAcentral
CUGCGGUCCGGCGUCAGUGGGUUAUCGUUCGCCUCCCUUCGGGGAAUUUCCCAUAGGCACAAACUUGACCGUACC